GGAAGACGUGGAGAAUGGGAGCAUGUUUACAAGCAAUCCACCAAGUUUUCAGGUUGAUGCCAUCUUUCCCACUUUCCAAACAACGGCUUUGAUAUCAUCUUGACAUGGCUGUUUGGAAAAUCAUAUGCUAUUGGCAUGGAUGGAAAAGAAACUAAAGUGAAACUCUGUGGACUUGUCACACUGGGCAUCACAUGGUGUGUCUGAGCCAACGCUGGCCCGACAUCUGCAUCCGGCAGCCACUGGGUUCUCCACCUCCGAGCAAAGGCUGGUGAGCGCCUGCCAGAAGGAUGCUGAGGGAUCGAGCUGAGCGUUCUGUCUGCCUUUCACAGUAGAAAUCCACAAUGAGGCUGAGAAUGUUUAAAACAACUAAAAUAAGCAUGUAGGAAAGAACUAUACGUUUCAAUAAAAAGUGAUUUAGAGACAUUCUGUACCAGAAAUUCCUGUCCAAAAGAAACAGGAUACACGGAAAAGUGGAGCCCUACUGUUUACUUGGAGGAUGUUUAUUUGCUGUUGGUGACCUCUGCAGCCACAUGACAAGAAUUUAGGUUGUAAACCUGGGCACUUAAGCUGCAGUGCUGGGUGACCGAUUUUAAUUUGACCUUUAAAUCCCAAGAGCAAGAUCAGGUUGGCGUGUGGAAUGCAGCUGUGCGUGGGGAGUCCAAUCACUGUGGCCAUUUUAACCAUCAAGAUGAAUCGCUGCCCGAUGAUGCCUUCUGAAGUGAUCAAUAUCAAUUUUCAAGGCAGCUGAAACAUCCCCAUCAGCCAUACGGUGGCCGGGCUCAGUGUGCCACGUGGAUCCAGCUUCUCAGCUAAGGUGAAAUGGAGGAACACACAACUGCUCGGGGCAUCGCGGCCACGGAGGCGGGAAUCUGGGUCACAAGGAUCUUGCUCCGUAUGGUAUGUUGAUGGAAGAAAAAGAAAGAAAUUAUUUCUGAGUAAGAUGGGGGAGUGGAAGUUGAACCUUUUGGCUAAAAUUAGGCGAGAAGCUUAUCAGCGGCUCAGCAUAAGAGCAAGAAGCUUAAGUGACUGGCUUUGCUUCUGCACCAGGUCAAGGAGCCCCUCUUUUUGGUUUCUCUAGCACAAAGGUUUGUCAAAUAAAUGUAUUUCUCUGCAUUUAAGCAGUUAUUAUUUCCCCUAACAUAGCAGACAAACAUUAACCCCAGAGCUGGCGCGAAAUAAGAAGGUUAUGAUGGAAUAGCACUUUGCGAGGGGAGCACUUGCACCUACGGCACAGCGGAUGGAAGCAUCUAUCUUCCAGGACGGCAACUUCAGCCACCUGCAGGGCAGCUCCGCCCGCCUCCCUUGUGCUGGGGCACCGAAGGAGGGCGCUGCGCGGCACUCUGCACUGCGCUUCCGGGGGCACGGCCGCUGUGAGGCCAGCCUUCGCCCUUCACGCGGUCAGGAGGGCGCUGCGCGGCACUCUGCACUGCGCUUCCGGGGGCACGGCCGCUGUGAGGCCAGCCUUCGCCCUUCACGCGGUCAGGAGGGCGCUGCGCGGCACUCUGCACUGCGCUUCCGGGGGCACGGCCGCUGUGAGGCCAGCCUUCGCCCUUCACGCGGUCAGGAGGGCGCUGCGCGGCACUCUGCACUGCGCUUCCGGGGGCACGGCCGCUGUGAGGCCAGCCUUCGCCCUUCACGCGGUCAGGAGCCCAGCAGAAAGAAGAGAGAUGGAAGGAAAUUCCUAAUUCAGAGUUAAGAGGAGGGAAAUCUGAGUGUCUAAAUUGAAGUUCUGCUGCUCAUUUUCUCAGUUUUCAGGGUGUCUAGGGAGAAGAGUCUUAGGAAUGUCCUCCAACAAAAGAGAAGGUCAAACAAUUAAAAAAAGGGUAAGUGUUGAAAAUAUGAACCAAAGAUUUCCUAGUGAGGAUGGAAGAGAAAGAACCUCUCUGGAAUUCUUUUAAAUGAAGGGAAAACACAACUGCAGUGACAUCUGAAAAAGAGUCCAAGGCAGAUGUAAAAGAAGCGGAUAUCAGAAACAGAAAUAAACAGGAGUGACAAGUUCGAAGUAACUCUGUCCUGAGAGGAGGUAAGAACAUCGUAAAGGGAUCCACUGUCUCCCUCACGGGUCGGCCUGCGAGGCUGACGAGCUGCUCCUCAGUGCGCCUGCGUGCAUCUGCCGCGUGGCGCCUGGGUUGGGAUCCCAGCAAUGGGAGGUUCCAUCCUUAUCGGUCAGUUCUGCAAAGUUGUUUUGAGGCAGCGGCAAACAAUGGCAUAGAACAAAAAAGCCUUUUAUCUCCCUGCGUUUUGGAGAUGAAAUAAAGCGUGGUUUGUGGGAAAUAUGCGCUGGUGGCACCAGUGACAACACAAGAGCAGUUAACACGAGGCGCUUCCAUUUCCUUACCUAGGGCGCAUGGGGGAGGAUGAUGAGGGUCGUCCUUCAGGUGCGACAGCCUCACCUAGGAGCGCCGCACGGCUCCACCUUUAUGAGGAAGAGGAUGGUGGGGGCAGUGCAGAGGGAGGACCGGAAAGGGAAACCAACUCCACAACGGCUCACCUGAGCCUCUUGGCCUCGGUUUUCUCGCUGCAGAUGGCAGUCAUCUCUUUCCCAGGCCGUUGGAGGAUGCAGUAGGAACGUCGCAGUGGUUUAGGAACUGUCAGACACGUGGCCACGCUCUGAGUGUGUUCCUUGCACGUUCUCUAGCUGAAGCUGCUGCUGCUCGCAUAAAGCCGAGCUCAUGCAAGGUUGGAGUGUUGCGGAAAUCCGCGCUAAGCUCAGGAGAUCCAGCUCCGUUUCACGGCAGACCUUUUGAAAAUUGCCAGGAGGCAAAUGUAGGUCUGAGGCCAAUUUGGAGGGUUUGCUCUAAAAUAGUACGUUUAUUUAUACCUGAAUUUGAAAAUUGUCUUUGUGCAACGGUCGCUCGCUAUCAGCCCAGAGCUGGCUUUCCACCCAGGCCUCGAGAGUGUAAUCAGCUGUUUGGGUUUCUCAUUCUGUGGUGAGUUUGUGAGUCCUGCCACACCGGAGUGAAAGGAAAUAUUUCUUCUAAGAUGUUAAAUUCCCACCCAAGUAAGCCGAUCAUCUCCCCAAACCUAAGGAUGUGUUUCAUUUAUUUGAGAAUGAAUCAUUCCAUUUCCCCUGGGAACUCGGGGUCUCUUCCCCGGGGUGCCUGGCCUGGCAGCUGAGGGGCGGUUGGGUCGUGUGUCUUCCCGAAGACUCCCUAACUGACACCUUGCAGCCCUGCGUGCCUGUCCUCGCUGGGGAUGGAUGGUGGCACCCAGGACUUUAAUAUUUUUUAACUUACUGAGUCCAAUUACCCUGCGGGCAGUUGAAAAGAUCUCACAAAGUUUAUUUCCUCCCUCCCCCUCGAACCCUCAAGAAAAAAAAAGAAAUCAUACCGAUGUUUAAAAAGGAAGCAAACAACCUUUUCUGAUGUCCUUUGAACUCCUGCUGGAUUAAUGCCCCACUGGCCUGUUUGAUUCACCAUUCUCCUACGAGCCAGAAGCAGUGUGCCCACUGUCCAUGGCUGAGGUGUCCACCUGUUGUGAGGCCAGCAAUGGUGCCAAGUGCAGCAGUGUGGGCUGCCCCACAGUCAAGUGCACAUCCCACAAGCCUUUUGUAUUAAGACCUAGUAGCCUUUAGGCCUCCAGAACAAUGGCUGCAAUGUGGAUUCAUUUCCUACAGCUGCUGGAACAAAUUAUACAAACUGGAUGGUGUAAAACCACAGAAAUUUAUUCUUUCACAGUUCUAGAGGCCCAAAGCCCCAAAACAAGGUGUUUGCAGGGCCAUGUUGCCCACAAAGGCUCUGGGGAACGAUCCUUCCUGGCCUCUUCCAGCUUCUGGUACUUGCCGGCAAUCCUUGAUGUCCCUUGGCUUGUGGCUGCAUCACUGUGGUCUCCGUCUCCCUCUUAACACCGUCUUCUCCAUGUGCGGCUGUGUCUUCAUAUGGCACUCUCCUCUUGUCUCUGUGUCCAAAUUUCCCUCUUCUUAUAGGACACCAGUCAUUGGAUCUAGGGCUGACCCUAACCCAGAGGGACCUCAUCUUGAUUAUAUCUACAGAGACCCUAUUUCCAAAUAAGGUCACAUUCCGAGGUUCUGGGUGAUGUGAAUUUGGGGGGACACUAUCCAACCCAGGACCCAACACUCCGAAGCAGAGCGAGGGCCCAGCAGGCUCAGCCCCUCCGGCUGCAGGUCAUCGCCAAUGUGACGAGCACGGUGCAAGAAAGGACUCUGCCUUCUCGCCCCUGGCUGAGGCAUGAAACAAUUCUUGGUACUAAAUAUGGUACAGGUUCAUUACACAAACACUUAUCAAGAGCUUACUGUGUGUCUGCCGUUUUGCCAGGCGACACGGAGGAUACAGCAGUGCCUGAAAUGCAGUCCUUGGCCUCGGUGGAUUUUCACCAUUUCCCUUAAUGAACUUCAUUCCACUAGUAACAGUAAAACGAGCAGUGAUGAGAGGCAUUCUUUGACAGUUCUUCCAAUUACUAAGAUUUGCGGUUUGGUCACACGUAGCCACAAAAAAAUGCCCUAAAUUAAUAAUUUUUUUAAAGUAUCAAUUUGUAUCUUUUGAAAUAUAAAAUAUGUUUCUUUCGAAAUACUGGGCCCAUUGAAAUAGCAGUUCUGAGAAUGAAAGGGUGAAGCACAGUAAAAUUCUAAUUGGUCCUUUUGUCUCAAAGUAUUUGGAGUGAGAUGAUCGGGGAAACGAUAUUACUAAAUACAAUAUUUUGAAAUAUCAUGCCCCUUCAUUUCAUGCAAUAAAAAGGAAAGAUAAAGUUACAAAUCUGAAGUUAUAUCAGGAAAAAAAUAGUCUCUGAAAAUAGCAAAAGAAUCCCAGGGUAAUGGCCCACCAUUUGGGUAGUAUCCCAAAUUCUUGCAAAAAGACAGAAAGGAAACAUGUGUCAGUAGAAACUCUCCCAAUUAUUAAGCUUCUUAGCUCCUUAUUAGAUUGAAUAACUAGAAAACAAGUUAAUGUUAAUAGUAUCUUUUGAUUAGACCUGAAAUCUUGUGCAUUGCUCACAACGCUUGGCCAUUCAGAAUCAUGUUUGUAGAAGUGACUCAAAUUCAUGUAAAUCAUGUUCAUAUAAAUUUUGUCUCCAUCCCUCUUCUCCUUCCCAUCUUCUUUCCUUCUUUCCUUCCCCUCCCUUCUCUCCUUCUUCCUUUUCUCUUGAUUAUAUUUUUCUUCAAUUUGCCUUUUUUUUUUUCAGUUAUGCUUAGGCCUGCCCACAGCCUCUGCAGUCGUUAACAGUUCUUAGUCCCACAGGUAACUCAAGGCUAGGGAGAGUCACCUAGCCCAGCGCUUCUCAAAGUCAGUAUGCCCACAAGCGACCUGCACUGCCUUGUGCAAAUGCAGACCUUGUCAGUAGGCCUGGAGUGAGCCCGCGAGUCCACGUUCCUGACCAGCUCCUGGUGUGUGGGCCACACAGAGCGAGGAAGGAGAUCCCUCGGUUGAGAAUCCAACAGAUGACCAGCCGAGGGGACGAAAUGGACAGUUACCAGGCAAGGCCUUCAGAAACCUCUAGAUGCGGGACGCAGAGUGUUCUCGGGACUCACGCACAUACCAUCAGAUUGGUGGGCUCCAUGCUCGCACUUCCCGUUGCCGUUUUAACCAUUCUCUGAUCUUGUCCGGAUUUUGAACAUCUCUCAGAGGAGAGGGGCAUUUCCUGGGACCAACAAACAUCCAAAUUAACCAUUGCCAGACCACCCACCAUGAUUCAUGCUAAGGUCACUUAGCGAACAAAGAAGAAAGACUGAAAAAGCCAAUUCACUGCUGCCAAGGAGGGUGUGUGCAAGGAGCUGCACAGUAUGAACACCAAAGCUUCAACGUGAGUCAUCACUGAUUCACCACCUUCAUUUUCUUCUUGAUGCUUAAAUUGUGUUCUCAAAGGCCAGCUCCUCCGAAACAACAGAUCCAAACUGCUGGCAACAUUUACAGCCUGUGGCAUUUCAGUUGAAGUGACAGAGCCAUACUUAAACAUUGGAAAUUGAAAAUAAUCUCUUCAAAUGACAGAUCCUUGCCUUUUGUUACAACGACCAUGUCCUUUAUAUUUCUUUACUUUAGGACUUUCUCUUCAUGUUAACAAUCAAGUGAUUACCAUAUUAAGGUUGCUGCAGUGUGCAAAUGGUUAUAAAAUAAAUGCAAACAAUAAUAAAUAUUCUUAUUGCUCUUCUUGUUACUAUUCCAAUAGUGGUAAAUCUGGGCCAUUCUUGACUGCUAUACAAGAAACAAGGUGAGACGAAAAGGAAGUCCUCGACAGUUUGCCCUAUUUUGGCUGCUUACGAUCGGACGCUCACGAGGCCAAGAUCAUAGGCUGAAUUUUCUUAUGGGCGCUGUGACUACAUAUCCCAUAUUUUUCUGAGACAGUCAUAAUUCCAGAUAUUGUUUUGUUAUUUUCAUCCAUUCAAGUUGGUCAGGCCAUGAGUCUCCAUUUGUUAUUGGAUGUCUUAUCUAAAGAUAUGUACCCCUGGGCAAGGAGGUGUGUCACAUCUUUCAUCUAGAAGCCUCAUGAGAGAGUGUGGAUCAAAGCAAGUCUGUCCUCACCAGCUUCGGGGACAUCCUAGUGGCGCAUCCAUGGUGCCAUCUUCCCGUGUAAGAGAGAAGUUUGCAGUAAAGGUGUGGUGAGUGGGAUGUUUAAGUGGUGAAUAAGUGAAGUAAAAAACUACUUUCUUUGUGAAGUCUAGGUGCUGAAGUUUUUCAUAUUCCUUUAAAUAUUUUGAACUUUAUUCUGGGACACAGUUAAAUUACUUGGAAACAUUUGAUCCUUUUGGAUCCAGCCUUCAAGCUCUGUUAGGCAGGACCAGAACAGUGCCGAGUCCAGGGCCAAUUUGGCCUCACUUCUAAGACAAUACCCCCAAGUACUCAGUGCUCCGUGCAUCAUGACGUUUCUCCACUCUGCUGUGGGAAACAUGAACUAUUCCCAGCCCUGCAUGCGAGCUCUGAGAAUUUUUCCAUCUGAUCCUUUCUGGUGGUUUUUCCUCGGUUUUGCGUAGUUUCCUGACGUGCAUGUUCUGGUCAAUACUCAGCCGAAACCUUGAGAUGGAGCCUCUGCAGACUGCUCCUGUGCGUCUUUCUCCCCUCUGGUACUCCACCCUGAGAAUUCUAGCUGCCUCAGCCUCCCCGAAUUCUCAACUCUGUCUCCUCAACUAAGGAGACCACCGGGGGCUUGGGUUCCCCCUCCUUGCACUGUGGCCUGUCCCCCUCUGCAGGCAGAAAACUGGGGCAGCUGUGGGGCCCGCCCUGUUUCUUUCCCUUCUCACAAGGAUCACUGUCCUGCAGUGCUUAUUGUCCAAUGUCUGAAAGCC
Molecule: long non-coding RNA, 7231 nt
Filed under: Equus caballus (horse)
Lineage: Eukaryota; Metazoa; Chordata; Mammalia; Perissodactyla; Equidae
Description: lncRNA (ENSECAG00000044030.1)
Source: RNAcentral